ACAUGACACAGAGGCGGGGUCGAGAAACGGGAAAUUGUCGAGUGAGGCAAAACCAGAAUAUCGGAGGUAAUACUCAGCAGGGUCGAGAAAACUGGACACAAAGUCAAGAACCAGAGGAUCAACAUGGAAUCUCAGAAACUGUGAAACAGAUUAAAGGAAUAAAAUCUCUGAACCACGGUGCUGGAGUUGUUGUAAUAAUUUAAUUCUGUAAAAGCACAACUGCUUGAUGGAGACGUGAGCUUAUCUCAGAAAUAUUUUAAAAUCACACCACCACCAUCAGAUAAAAAGAUGUAACUCCUUGUAAAGAUGUGUUGAUAAAGUGAACGAGUCAAAGUGAACUGAGAUGAAUUUGGUGCAGAAGAGAAGCAGCGCGUCCUGUUCAGGGUCCAUCAUUCAGAGGAAGCUGAAAGGAGCCACGUUUCCUCUGAGAGGAGAGUGUGUACAUCACCUCUGUGUAAAUCUCAUCACCAUCUGCAGGGGAACAACACACACACACACUGAAGACAGCUUAACUCAGUGAUCAACCACUUCUUCAAGCUUUCAGUCACCUGGGACGUGAUCAACACUGUCAUUAAAUUUUACUCAUGUAAAUAAAUAAACAAACAUGAAUAAAUAUAAUUUUGAUUUUUUUUGCUAAAAUUUCUGUUGAUACACAGCUGUGUGUUUAAGCCAAGACACAUCACAGACCCCAGCUGAAUAAAGUUGAGCAGUGUGAAGGACACCAAACACCAAAUGUGGAAAAACAUCUGAACAGCUGAACAGCUGAAAGGAGCUGCGUUUCCUCAGAGAGCUGCUGAGAGGAGAGUGUGUACAUCACCUCUGUGUAAACCUCAUCACCAUCUGCAGGGGAACAGCACACACACACACACACUGAAGACAGCUAAACUCAGUGAUCAACCACUUCUUCAAGCUUUCAGUCACCUGGGACAUGAUCAACACUGUCAUUAACGUUCACUCAUUUAACUUCGUGUUUAAGCCAAGACACAUCACAGACCCCAGCUGAAUAAAGUUGAGCAGUGUGUAAAGGACACCAAACACCAGAUGUGGACGAACGUCCUUUUUGCUUUUCGAAGGAGAAAGUCUUGAUCUCUCACAUGUACAUCACAGGAAAGAGAAACUUCUCUUUACAUCUCACACAGAGCACAGGUCUAGUUCUGUUCGCGUGACCACAAUCAUGGGGAAGACUGCUGACCUGACAGUUAUCCAGAAGAUGAUCAUUGACCUCCUGCACAAGGAGGGUAAGCCACAGAAGGUCAUUGCUGAAAAGGUUGGCUGGAAAAGGUGCACAAGCAACAGGGAUGACCUCAGCCUUGAGAGGAUUGUCAAGAAAAGUCGAUUCAAGAACUUGGGAGAGCUUCACAAAGAGUGGACUGAGGUUGGUGUCAGUGCAUCAAGAGCCACCACGAACAGACGUCUUCAGAAAAGGGGCUACAACUGUGACAUUCCUCAUAUCAAGGCCCUCCUGAACCAGAGACAACAUCAGAAGCGUCUUACCAGGGCUAAAGAGAGAAAGAACUGGACUGUUGCUCAGUGGUCCAAAGUCGUCUUUUCAGUAAAUUUUGCAUUUCAUUUGGAAAUCAAGGUCCGAGAGUCUGGAGGAAGAGUGGAGAGGCACAGAAUCCCAGGUGUUUGAGGUCCAGUGUGAUGUUUCUGCAGUAUGUGAUGAUUUUUAGUGCCAUGUCAUCUGCUGGUGUUGGUCCACUGUGUUUUAUCAAGUUCAAAGUCAAUGCAGCAUCUACCAGGAGAUUGUACAACACUUCAUGCUUCUAUCUGCUGACAAGCUUUCUGGACAUGCUGAUUUCCUUUUCCAGCAGGACUUAGCACCUGACCACAGUGCGAAAACUAUGACCAAAUGGUUUGCUGACCCUGAUAUUACUGUGCUUGACUGGCCAACCAUCUCGCCUGAACCAAACUCCAGAGAGACUCUAUGAGCAACUGUCAAGAGGAAGAUGAGAUACACCACCCGACCCAAAAAUACAGACGAGUUGAAGGUCGCUAUCAAAGCAACCUGGGCUUCAAUAACACCUCAGCAGUGCCACAGGCUGAUCGCCUCCAUGCCACGCCCCAUUGCCCAACCAAGUACUGAGUGUAUAACUGACCACACUUUCUAGAAGUUGUACAUUUCUGUAUUUUUUGAUUGAUCUUGGGAAAUGUUCUAAUCAUCUGAGACACUGGAUUUCUGAUUCUCAUGAGCUAUAAGACAUAUUCAUGAAAAUUAAAACAAAAAAAAGGCUUGAAAUAUUUCCCUUUAACGUGUCAUGAAUAUAUGAAAGUUUCCUUUUUUGGAUUAAAUAGCUUGAGAUGCCCUCGUAUUUACCGAGGCUCAGUGGAUGUGAGCUGACUUUCAGUGUUUGUUUGUAAUUUGGACUUUUCGAGAGAGGAAAGAAAUGAAUAAACGUACCCUGAUCACCUUGGGUCAAGUCCAUUUUGCGUCUGUUGGCGGAAGAAAUCCACAGAAACACUCAGAUAAACACGGCUAUGAGGCGUUUCGAUCAGAUAAAACCAAUGAUACACGAUUAAGCUGAACACAGUAAAUCUCUCACCUCUCAGCCGUCUGCUUCCCUGAAAAAGAAACAGAACAAACACCUUCUGUCAGAUCUGAACGAUCUCCAUGAUCAGUUUCACACAGGACGGUGUGCAGGAGAGACACGAGGAGAUGAAGUUAAAGACUUACUGAUAAAGCUGCAGAGACAGACACUCAUCAUUCCAGCCAGUAAAACACAGACACCGAGGACUGACGGCAGCAGCACCGACAAAGAUCCUGAACACAAUCGUGUAAAAUUCAAGAUGUUUUCGUUAUUAUUGGAUAAAAUAUUGGAGAAUUUGUUUGUUAUCGGUCCAAAACUGAGAGAGUUUCUCUGGUUAGAGCAUGAAGUAAAGAAUAAAACACUCUCAUCAUGCUGUUUUAGGAAAAUAAUUCACAACAGUGUGGUGUAAUGGAUCAGAGUCACUGUUACUACACUGAAGUUGAUUAUUUUCCUCUAAAAACACACCCUGAAAUGUUUUAUUCCUCUUCUACCACAGCAAUUCACCCAUACUAACAGCUUUAUUCAGUAAAGGAUGGCAUUUCAUUGG
Long non-coding RNA from Neoarius graeffei (lesser salmon catfish), 3075 nucleotides. RefSeq lists it as uncharacterized. The transcript has 4 exons. The record is from RefSeq and is a predicted model, not a curated record. Lineage: Eukaryota; Metazoa; Chordata; Actinopteri; Siluriformes; Ariidae.